This 497-nucleotide ribosomal RNA is filed under the name uncultured bacterium. RNAcentral's name for it is "partial 16S ribosomal RNA". It matches the Rfam family "Bacterial small subunit ribosomal RNA", at positions 28 to 507 of the family's 1533-position model. The record is from RNAcentral.
GAUGAACGCUGGCGGCGUGCCUAAUACAUGCAAGUCGAGCGAACAGACGAGGAGCUUGCUCCUCUGACGUUAGCGGCGGACGGGUGAGUAACACGUGGAUAACCUACCUAUAAGACUGGGAUAACUUCGGGAAACCGGAGCUAAUACCGGAUAAUAUAUUGAACCGCAUGGUUCAAUAGUGAAAGACGGUUCUGCUGUCACUUAUAGAUGGAUCCGCGCCGCAUUAGCUAGUUGGUAAGGUAACGGCUUACCAAGGCAACGAUGCGUAGCCGACCUGAGAGGGUGAUCGGCCACACUGGAACUGAGACACGGUCCAGACUCCUACGGGAGGCAGCAGUAGGGAAUCUUCCGCAAAGGGCGAAAGCCUGACGGAGCAACGCCGCGUGAGUGAUGAAGGUCUUCGGAUCGUAAAACUCUGUUAUUAGGGAAGAACAAAUGUGUAAGUAACUAUGCACGUCUUGACGGUACCUAAUCAGAAAGCCACGGCUAACUACGUG